UCCACUCUUUCUUCUUCCUUGCUUUCAUAGUCUUCCUUUGCUUCACACAAAAUCCAAAACCUCCGCAGAAGCUCAACUGCUCAUCAAUGGCGGACUCCAUCCCCUGCAGAAAGCCCCACUUCCCAUUCUCCGAUCCAAAUCCAGAAGCUCACCGAAACCCGAUUCGACACGUUUGCUAUCUGCCGUUGCAUAUGGUGGUUUAUCACAAGCAUCGCCUUGCAGUGCAUCAUAACCUGGGAUAGAAGCACUUUGCUUUUCUCUACUUUCUUCCAGUAAUUAGAGAAUUUAACAGAAGUUCAAUUUCAAGCUGUACUUUUUCUUGGGACAGAUUGUUGCACUGCCUCUCAUCCCAACAUUAGCAGCAUCUGUGAUAUAUUCAGUCAAAUAGGAAAACAUCACCAAAAAAAGCAGAAACCAACCAAAUAUUCUAUGUAGUGAACAUUCUCCGUGGCACCAAAUGACAGAAUAUCCAAUGAAAUUUAUUUGAAGCUGCAACAUCUCUUAUCACAUAACACAACGGCGUCAUCUCCACGCUUGCAGCAAAGACGGUACCAAAAAAAUCAAAGCAGGUCCCAUAAGAAAAAACUGUGAAAAAGACUACAAGUGAUGCAUUUUCCACUGGAAAUGAGCAUCAACAAAGUAAUGCAGUAUUAUUGUUGUGGCGGUAUUGAAUUGACAAAGCAGUAUGCAGGUAGAAUGGGAAUUGCAAGAUAAAUGUCAAGAACAAAACCACAAACAUUAUAUACUCAUCUCUAGCAACUUUUAAUAAGAUAAACUAGUAAUAUGAUAGAAGCGAGUUGUAUUUUGUAGUACUGUACGGAAAAAAUGAUAUAUAUGAAUUCUUACUCUUCAACUCAAUGUCAUUGUUUAUUUUGUUAUCUUACACUAUUAUUUGGUUCA
Pyrus x bretschneideri (Chinese white pear) is the source of this 900-nucleotide long non-coding RNA. RefSeq lists it as uncharacterized. NCBI's taxonomy places the organism in Eukaryota, Viridiplantae, Streptophyta, Magnoliopsida, Rosales, Rosaceae. The transcript has 4 exons. The record is from RefSeq and is a predicted model, not a curated record.